CUCAAGGACAUUGGCAAUGAGAGAACAAGCUCAAACAUCUCUGUACCUCCCUCCCCAAAGGGAACAAGAUGAACUCUCUUCCUGCAGCGCCUGAGCCACGUCAUCAUGUGAAUUCAGCCUCCUUUCCCACCUGACCUUUACAGCCACUUUCCAGCAGCAGAAUGAAAUUUCCUGAUUGAAGCGCCAAUGAAGAAGGAAAUGUUCCAGGAAAGGGAAGAGGCCAACAGAGCUACAAACUCAAUAACGCAAGUAGUUGGGAGGACAGACAAAGUAGGUUUCUUCCAGAUGACCAGCAGCACCUGCAACUUGUUAGAAAUGCAAUUUCUCCAGCCCCAGCCCAGACAUACCCAAUCGGAAACUCAUGCUGGGGCCCAGCCGCCUAUAUUCUAACAAGGCUCCAGGUGAUUCUGAUGCAGGCUCAAGUUUGAGAACCGUCGUUCUAAAGUAUAAUGAAAGAGAAAGAAGUACUGACACAGAGAGUUGGACUCUGUCUCCAUGACACCAAAUCAAGAACUGCCUCCUUCUCCAUCUUUCGCCACCACCUGGGAGACUCUGUUGGCAGAAGACAGAGCAGAGCAGUUUCUGUG
Long non-coding RNA from Felis catus (domestic cat), 587 nucleotides. RefSeq lists it as uncharacterized. Lineage: Eukaryota; Metazoa; Chordata; Mammalia; Carnivora; Felidae. The transcript has 3 exons. The record is from RefSeq and is a predicted model, not a curated record.